GUGGGGAAUUUUGGACAAUGGGCGCAAGCCUGAUCCAGCAAUGCCGCGUGCAGGAAGAAGGCCUUCGGGUUGUAAACUGCUUUUGUACGGAACGAAACGGUCCGGGUUAAUACCCUGGGCUAAUGACGGUACCGUAAGAAUAAGCACCGGCUAACUACGUGCCAGCAGCCGCGGUAAUACGUAGGGUGCAAGCGUUAAUCGGAAUUACUGGACGUAAAGCGUGCGCAGGCGGUUUUGUAAGACAGGCGUGAAAUCCCCGGGCUCAACCUGGGAAUUGCGCUUGUGACUGCAAGGCUGGAGUGCGGCAGAGGGGGAUGGAAUUCCGCGUGUAGCAGUGAAAUGCGUAGAUAAGCGGAGGAACACCGAUGGCGAAGGCAAUCCCCUGGGCCUGCACUGACGCUCAUGCACGAAAGCGUGGGGAGCAAACAGGAUUAGAAACCCCAGUAGUCC
RNAcentral lists this ribosomal RNA (450 nucleotides) under uncultured bacterium. RNAcentral's name for it is "partial 16S ribosomal RNA". It matches the Rfam family "Bacterial small subunit ribosomal RNA", at positions 354 to 796 of the family's 1533-position model. The record is from RNAcentral.